RNAcentral lists this long non-coding RNA (3092 nucleotides) under Homo sapiens (human). Its description in RNAcentral is "HSALNT0358819". The record is from RNAcentral. Lineage: Eukaryota; Metazoa; Chordata; Mammalia; Primates; Hominidae.
AGUAUGCUUGCUCUCAUUGCGGAGUCUGGUCCCCUCCCCUCCGCUCCUAGCGCGCGGGAGUCGGGAUUGUGCUUGCACGACUUCCCCCGGCCCGCGGCCUGUGAGCCCAGGUCCUGGGGUGAACCGAGCGCUCGCUCGUUCGUCAGACCGUAGCGCUCCAGCGGCUGUCCUUACUGUGUAGUAGCCAAAGCUGAGGGUGAUGACUGUGAACCAGAACAGACUGCCUCGCUGAAAAGUCACUUGGAACUCUUCUGUGGCAUCUGAAGCAGAUGGACGAAGCCAAGAGGGCCGAGAGUAUCUCAGCACCUAGAAAUGGACAAGGCUGGUUAUUAGAACAAAGAUUUCGCAGGUGGUGAGUCUCAAAGGCGAAGCUGAAUGAGGCAAGAAUCUGCAUCAAAGAGCCCUGGAAGCAAUCAUGGCUCAACUGUGAUGCCUUUAGAACAUGAAGUCCUCCAAGAAGAUGCCAUAGGAAUGGCCUCCAUCCCAGGGCCUGGAGAGCAGCCAGAGACAAGAAGAGUAGCCCAGGAGGGCACUGGCAGUCAGUGCUACACUGUGGCCUGUCAGUCUCAGAGCCAGGAUUUAAUCACUGGAUCUCCCAUUAACCAGUCAUAAUGAAGUAAGAACAAGAAGAUGGGGAAGAGGAAGUGUAAAACCGUGGCUUAAAUUUGCCAAGGAUAAGCUGAGUGUACUUCAGCAGUCAUUUGCACAGAAUCCUUAUCCUAAUUUUACAACCAGGGAAAAACUGGCUGGACAGUCUCUUGUCCUGUGUUUGUAAUUGAUAACUGGUUUCAAAAUAAAAGCCAGACCACCACUUAGAGAGAGACACAGAAUGUUCACUGCCAGGGAACUGCAUGAUUCCUCUGCCAAAGGCCACCCAUUUACAAGAAUCCAGGAAAACCAGGUGGAAUCUCCCAAUGAUGACCCUGAGCAGAACUUCUUGUACCCAGGAAGUUCUACUGGGUGGAGCUGGCCACUCUUCCGUGGAGACACAGGGGACUCCCAAUUAACAUGAUGGCUCAAAUAACUGUAGCCUUAUGGAUUAAAAGGAAACUAAGCUGUGAUUUGGAGUAUCCAGGUGAUACAGAAAAUGGCCCUUGUCGAUGUAGAUCAGCAUUAUUUCCUUAUCCUUCUGCAUCUCCUCCUCAGUAUUCUGAAAGGGACAAGCCUGAGAUGGGGGAAAGCCAGCAUGCAAGGCCCUCCCCUUUGUGCUGUGUUCAUGGUGUGCACGGAGAGAGGCAGCAGCAGGAGGAACAGAAAGGUUAUUUUCUUUACUGACUCUUUCAAGGACAUCAGCAGAAUGGUUGGGAAUGUCAUCAUGAGCAGCCUCAGCCUCAGAAUUACCAGGAGAAGCUGGUCUUCCAGGAUCAGGUUCUAAUGUAUAUGAGUCACAGGAUUUAGGGAAGCAGGCACUUUCCCUUCAGUCCCAGCAGCAUGGUUGAUGUUCCCAAGUAAUGGAGAGUCCCUGUGCUCUCAGUUGUGGCACACACCUUUGCAAAUAGUGAUCAGAUCUCCACAAACGCCUCUUGGGUAAGAUAUGCAGCAACAUAGCUGGCUGCAGAGCAACCCAGUUCCCAAAUCCAGCAGCUCUUGGAUGAGAAGUCUGCAAGUGUUUACUGCUGGGACCAGGACUGUGUUUCUAGGAAAUGGUGCUAGGCUUCAGAGAGCAUCAUCCACAGGUCAUCCCACAACCAUCCACACAGAAGCCUGAGGAAAAGGGCUCUGCAGAGCUUGCACAUAAAGAUGCUGAACUCAGGAAGGCUCUGUGAGCUGCUGGUCUCUUCUGGUAGGGCAGCAGUGUCCUGAGAAGGUGGAGCUAGAGUAUGGAGAACAAAACUAACAAGCACCAAGGCAGCAAGCAAGGCAACCCCCAAAUGACAGCAGUUGCCAAAUCCAAAGCAAUCUGUGCUUCAGAAGACAGAGGCUCUGCACAGUCCCUGUCUCAGACAUUGUCUCCUCCUUAGAAGAUACCUAACAACAGCACUGUGGGAGGCUGAGGUGGGUGGAUCACCAGGUCAGGAGAUCAAGACCAUCCUUGAUCUUUAGUAGAGACGGUGAAACACUGUCUCUACUAAAAAAUACAAAAAAAAAUUAGCUAGCCGUGGCGGCGGGCACCUGUAGUCUCAACUAUUUGGGAGGCUGAGGCAGGAGAAUGGCCUGAACCCGGGAGGCAGAGCUUGCAGUGAGCUGAGAUUGCGCCACUGCACUCCAGCCUGGGCAACAGAGUGAGACUCCAUCUCAAAAAAAAAAAAAAAAAAAAAAAAAAAAGAUACCUAACAAGCAGUACAAGAAUAUGAAGGACCCCACUGCCCAGACUUUGUAUGGAGGGGUGUCUAAGGUGGCUACAGCAAAGCUGUCAUCUCCAUCGACCGGGACAGCAUCUCCAGCCAUGAUGUGUGGCCUGCUGGAACAGCAGCCAUGUGUCCUUUCACAGACAGCCCACCAAAGCUCUGACUGUGAAGGACAUCCCAACAUCAGCCUAGCCUGCAUACACUUAAGGCAUAGAAUCACCUGAGGCUUCUCCGUUGAAGACAGGGACUCCCGAUGGAGUUGCAGCCCCAGCUUUGCACUGUAAAGAGCCCCAGGGGGCUUCUGUGCUAGAGCAGGUGUGCAGACCCCUCCUCACCCCCUUCACUGAGAGCUGCUGCCUGGAACCAGUGUUUUGACUGAGUCACCUCUGGACGUGGGCCCACAAGAUCUGAGAGUGCCCAGACGAGAAGUUGAAUGCCUUGUGUUGACCUGAGUGUUUGGAAAAAAGCCCCAAACUUUGAAACAAUUUUCAUAAUUUUGAGCUUCAGGAUGUGGAAUCACUUCUCAAGUAUUCUGGAGUUCUGUCCAUCAGAGCGGGUCCUGCCAAUGCUGCCCUGUGCAGCGCUUCAGGCUGCAUCCCUCCCACUAGGGGGCGCCUUUCACAUAGUGGCGCCUGCCUUCUAGAGGAGCAACAUUUCCUGAACUGCAGGGUUCCCUCGGGGCUUUGUGUAAAACACAUCCACUGCAUAGAAUUUGUGUUAUUUCCAUUUUGUUUUCUUGACAAUAUUUAAUUAAUUACAAAAUGAUGUAUGUUAUGAUAGUUUAAGCAAUACAGAGAGUAACCA